GCCGGCUGAAAACACGUCAUCCAUCUUAGAGCAGAAUGCCAGGAUCCACAAUGAAAACUUGCAUAUCUUGCAAGCAACACGUCUGUCUUUGUGGGGCACAGCAGCCCAUGAAAAAAAAAAUCAUCAAGGCAAAGAACAAGGCUACGAAGGAAUGGGGAGAGGAGCUGAAGAAAGGGGGCAAUAUUGCCAAACUUUUUGAUGCUGCACGGAUUCUGACCCUGCACCUGCA
Molecule: long non-coding RNA, 229 nt
Organism: Acanthopagrus latus (yellowfin seabream)
Lineage: Eukaryota; Metazoa; Chordata; Actinopteri; Spariformes; Sparidae
Exons: 3
Source: RefSeq, a predicted model, not a curated record